UACAGUUCAGCUGGAAACCUGAAGGUGGCACAAGAGAUAGUCCUUACAGAGUGCGUCUGUGGGGAGGCUCUGGAGAGAUGGAGAACAGAAGCCUAAAUGAAACAAGUACUACAUUUGAAAAUCUGCUUUCUGAUAAUAAGUACCAAAUAUCCGUGGAUGUUUCAACUUGCUCCAAGAAUGUCAGUACCUCCUUGACAGUUCAGACAGCUGCUGAAGUCUUCAAUGGAACCACUAGGAUUACCAAUGAAGUUUACACACCUGCAUAUCAGAACAAAUCAAGUACAGCAUUUAAGGCCUUUGAAACUAAGUUCAUUAAGGAGGUA
Molecule: long non-coding RNA, 323 nt
Organism: Chroicocephalus ridibundus (black-headed gull)
Lineage: Eukaryota; Metazoa; Chordata; Aves; Charadriiformes; Laridae
Exons: 2
Source: RefSeq, a predicted model, not a curated record